GGGGGGUUGGAGAUUCAUGAUCCUUGAGGUCCCUUCCAACCCUGGCCAUUCUGUGAUUCUGUGAUUAAGGCACUUUUCAGUACCCAGUCCUUACUGAGCUCCACAGGCUCUCUGUCCCAUAGCUCCAGUUGCACGUUUCCUUGGGCUGUGGUUUUGCUGUUGGCCUCUGCCAGGAAAUACCCAACCACAGGCUGACUUGCACAAGCCCAUCGCUUCUACUGGUGGCUUCAUUCAUCAAGGGGCUUAUCUCAAACUGCGCUGCAAAUGUAGAAGUGGCUAUAUGUAAAAAUAAGAAGACCAUCUCUUAAGAAAGUGAUAUGGAAGUUCUGGAAAUGCUUUUCUGCUAAGUUCACUAGAUAUAAGUUUGCAGCAAGACAACACCAUAAACUUUAAUAUGUUUAUGUUACAAAACACUAGCAAGUCCUCUGAAGCAUGACAAUAAUAAAACAGCAAGUUUUGACGCUGUCAAAAACGUUAUGUGCAGAAAGCUGUGCAGUUUGGUAAGCUAUUUCCUUUGUUGCGAGGUACUAACCGAGGCACAGAUCCUCACAGUUUGGGUCUCACCCACAAGCUGGAGUUCAUUCUGUGGUCAGAGACCUCAGGCACACAGAACUGCAAGAAGUAACACCAAGACAAUUAAGUAUGCAUAAAAAUGAAAGCAACAAACAAAGUAGGUUGGAAUAAACUUUGGUCAGUUGAGUGAGUCCCCUCCAUGAGGGCUCAUGAUGAGACCUCUGGCACUAACAAGCAGAAUUAACCACAGAUUUUAUGUGAAAACUCAGCUUAGGCCAAAGCUCAGAAUAAUUUCAUUCUCUAGAAUACCAAAGAAUGUGCUACCACUUCAGCAUUUAACAAGACACAAUAUCAAGUGUAAAUCACAACUGCUACAUGACAGUAAAACCAGACUUGGCUAUUUUUCUUACAGCAGGGACAAAAUUGGUUAGCACAAGGCACACUAAGUACCAAAUCAGCUUAAAAGCAACAUAGAAAGCCAUCUGCAGUAUUUCCUGAGGCACAAAACCAAAAGCAGUAAAUCAUACAAGAUUUUGCACAGUGUCAGUAAAACCAAAAAUAGAAAGGAAGGGCUGACCCCACCUCCAGCGGCUGGGGUCAGGAAAGCAGGCUUCCUCUACCAACAGGACCUCCAGGUUUCACCACAGCCCUGCUAUCUUAGAAAAAGUAGAGACUGUUUUUUUUUCAUCUCUAGAGACUUGCCUUACAGCAUACUGGGAGAAAAGCCUUGCUCUUAACCAAAGUGAGACAGGCACGCGAAUAGCACCAGGGCUGCAGCACACUUUGAAAGUGGGACAAGGUAAAAACCAUAGAGGCCUCAGGCUUUGGAGCCAGUGCAAAGAGCAAUAUGCAAAGCAGCCCGGUACUGCUGAAUCUGCACGUCAAUCUUCAAGCAGACAGAGGAUGCAGCUCAGAUGCGACCUUCAGGCUCCCUGUCCCUUCACAUUCUUCUGCUCAGGCUCCAAAACCUGCACAAUGACAAUGGCCCACAACACACACGUAUUGGCUUCCUCCAGUGAAAUCACCCAUCCACCACAGACCAAACAACCACUGCCAGGCACCUAUCAGGCCCUGAUUUAAAUCAGUGGUAUACCAGUUCAUUAGCUUUUCACACCACUGCAGAUGGAGGAAGAGAAAAAUGUAUUCCCUUCAGUUGCAAAGAUUUACAAAGGUUAUACUCCCCACAGAGAAACCAUACAGCACUUAUGUCUUCUUCAAAGACAUGGAAGCUGAAUUAAUUACAAGCACAGAGAAGCACAGUUGAGUUUGUGAACAGCUCCACCUUCCCAGAUUUUGCUGACCAGAAACCUCUCCCCACCUUGUGAUGCUGGUGUGAGGGGAAGGAAUGCUGAGGGCAUGCUAUCAUGUUACCCAUUCUUUUGCACAACCGAUCUUACUUUCCGAAUCUGAAGCAGAAGGUAAAGAAAGGAUGGCACGGGCACAGCAGCUGCCAAAAGGAUUGAAAAAUCCCAAGAACAAGAUGUUUCCAUGUCACAUGUAGUCACAUUAGCUUCACCUUCUGCUUGCAUUCAGCAAUUCCAGAGUUACAGCCACAAGAUUUAUGCUCUCACUCUGAUGUCACCUUCCCACAUGGCUUCCUGCUGUCACAAGGUGUUCACAAAGGACCUGUCACAAGCCUCACCAACUAGAUCAGGCACCGCUCUGCUGCCUCUUGCUUAAUAUGGAAACUGGAGGAUUAAACAAGCUGGGGUUGGAGAAGGUAGCUGGAGCAGGUGACUUCCGAGUGGUGCUCUGCAAGGAAAUCUGCGCUGCUGUGGAGAACUCUGAUGCCGUACCCAGCUGCCAAGCUGUGGUUUAUGACAGUAGUUCCCUGAGGGAAGUGAGGUGUGGAGCAGGAGGAAGAGGGACCUCCCUGCCGUGGUCCCCUCCGUAACACACAGUGCUGCAGGGCUGCGCUGCUGCUGCACAGACCUGAGGGAUUCACUGCGCUUUCCAAACGGGUUUGUCAACAAUGAAAACAUCACUCUGGCAUUUACACCAUUGCCAUUACUCAGAGGACAUCUCCUGUCAUGCAACUGUUACUCGAGUUUUCCAUUAGUCAAUAAAUGCCAAACGGCCUCUUCCA
Non-coding RNA from Phasianus colchicus (ring-necked pheasant), 2599 nucleotides. The record is from RefSeq and is a predicted model, not a curated record. NCBI's taxonomy places the organism in Eukaryota, Metazoa, Chordata, Aves, Galliformes, Phasianidae.